UGUGAUCUGAAACAGCUUCAUUUUUAUUUGUACUUAGCACAUACAAUGAAGAUUCAAAAUACAUUCAAUGGGAACAGGCUUGUAAACAAAUAUUCCUUAUUUUUACAAAAAAAUAUAUAUUUGCAUAUUUAUAUAAAAGGUGUGUGUGUACAGGAAGUGUGUUCAAACAACCAUAUUUAUUCAUUUACACACAAAAUGGAUUGAAAAGGUGAGGAAAUCCAAAACAAACAAAAAAGACAUACAACUAAAUUAGCCCUUUUGAUGCUCUACAUUCUGGCUAUUUACUUUAACCCCUUCAGGGACAGGGUUAAGUGUAUCCCUUUUUUAUCAUGACUGUGCAGGCCUGUCAUUGGCAGACAACUAUUGAAGGUCAGAAAGCAAGGAGGAUGGUGAUGGAGUAGAGCACAAGUGACACAAGUUUGACAAUAACCUAAUCUAGGGUCAAAACAUUGCGGUGUUCUACUGGUUCCAAAAAAUAUGCCCUAAAGCAUUGGGGUGCCUGGACAUUCUAUUUUCUAUAUCUAUAUUUUGAUGGGUGAGUGCUGGCCAAUGAUAUAGCUAAGCACACAAUCAGCUUUUGGAUUGAGUGCAAUUCCUGUUACAAAUGAUCUCAUGGACAACAUAUCCACCAAUUAAGAAUGUGUGUAAUGCUGCAUGCGCAUGCAAGUCAGGAUAAAAGAAUGCCAGGAAGUUUACAGGCAGUGCCCAUAAAAUGUAUUACAAAAUGCAACACAAGUGCAACUGAUCAUCCUAUUGCACAGCACUUUCCAUAAGUCCCUGAUUAGAGUUCUGGGGCGGAGGUGUCAGGUGUCAAAUGGAGUAACUGUGUGACUUGGCAGCCCUGCACUGGCAUUGAAAGGGUUAUGAUUUUAACUUCACAUGGUAUUCAAUGGUACUAGCACAUAUGUAUCUCUUUAAAAGCCAUUAUGUCAUUUGCUGGAGUGUAUUACUCCAGUGACCAAAAGUACCGCAAAUGAAUCUUUCAGAUUAAAAUGACCACUCCCACCCCUACAACAACAAACUAAUUUAGCAAGGGUUUAACCCCAGAAUUGGGGCUCCAGUGCCUAGCAACUCUGCCAGCCAUUUCCUUCCUCUCUGCACAGCAACAUGAAGUAGGGUUAGCCAUAUGACAGGUGGUAGGCAAAGAGCCUUUUAACAGCACUUAUUUUGAGAAAUAGUACCUACUAUUCACUCAAAGGUAGAAGUUUCCAGCAGCAGGGGUAACAACAGGCAUUUGGUCGGACCGAGGUAAGUUGUGAGUACUGGGCGGCCCCAGGGCUGUAGUGGUUAUGGUGCUUGGACUGUAAACUGCAAUAUAGUAGUAAAACUAAACUAUCUCAAAGUAAAAUUUUAUAAUGUACAGUUCUUUGCUCAAUAGGUUUUUAAAGCAGUUUCACUUGAGAAGGGCAUUAUUUUUUAAUGAAUUACCGAACCACAGCACUAAAUUUGACUAAUAGUCGUGAAUUUGUCAGGUUAAAAGGGAAAAUCAAAUUAAAUAAGAUCUUGAAUCAGUAGCAAAACAAAUAAUAAAUGAACACAACAGGUUUGUGGUCGAAAAUAAUAAACAAGAAACUUUUAAAAUAAAAAGAGACAUUAUAAUACAAGCAAUUUUGUUUAGCACAAAUAUUUACCUAGCAAAAAUUACCCCAAAUUGUUAAAUUAAUUUAAAUGUUACAAAUAGGAAGAUACCUCUUAUUUGAACACAUUUUAUAAAAUACAUUUCAUAUUCUUUGAGCACGAAACAAACAAAUGGCACAGUGUGACAGAAAUACAGUAGAAUACAUACUCGUUUUUGGUAUUCUAACACCAUUAACCCACUGAAAGCUUCUUCCCACAUAUCUAUAAGACAUUUGAAAAGUACUGGAGACAACUUGUGAAAUCUGCUAUAACCUUUUUCAUUAUUGCUUCUUGCAAAUUCACAUCAUAUCUAAUCCUUUUCACACACAUUGCUCUCAAAUGUGUUACCAUCCCUUUACGUCCUAAAAGUAUUAUCAUAUGUUAUCCCAUCAACAGGUUGUAUUUUCAAGCCAAUUAAUAAAGCUUACUAAAAAAAUUUAAAUAAAAUAAAAACAAAGUUCAAGUUUUCUAUAGUUUUCAUUCACCAUCCAUCUAAAAUAUUUUACUACUUAACGGUACUGCAGUUUUGAGCCCUACCUACUGAAAAGCUGCAACAGCACGAUGAAGAGAUUAAGCAGCACUGUUACUUGUGGGGGGUUUUUGUAUUUUUUUCCCCAACAUGACAGGUUUGAUUGCAUGGUACCUGUAUCAAGGGAGAUAUGCUGAUCUGAAACGAUACUGCAUUUUGGAGGUUUUUGCAAAAUAGUGGUAUUUUCCAUAGGUCUUUGAGUAUUACCAAUGUGUUGCUAAAAGCAUGAAAUGCACACCAUGCAAAAAUAGUCUUGCAAGUCACGGCUGAUGUUAAAUAGCAGGUGGACGCAGUUUAAUGAUCUGCCUUUUGUCAAGGUUUACCAAAAAUUGUCUCUGACCUAGAACAAUGUAGUCCCUUGCUUUUUCUUAUGAUGGAAUUUUACUGAAAUUCUAAUGCAAUUAAAAGACAAUACAGUACAGUGUUGUUGUAAUACUUGCUGAAGAUUUCAGGGAUAUUAUGCAAAUGUGUUCAGUUGAAGAAAACAUAUUGCUGUAAAUUUGAUAAUAUGUUUUCAUUUUCUUAUUACUUCUAAUCUUAUGUGCACAUUAUAUAUAAUUUGUUUUAAAUUGUUUUAUCAAAUGCACACAAAACAAAAUGUAUUCACUUUGUCAACAGGAUUAACAUUCAAGUAGCACUUUCUUCUUUGAAAGGUAAAUUAAUUCUACAAACACCACAUAUUAAAACCCAAAUAAAAGCUAAUGGUGUUCAUUGAAAGGGACACUCUGGGCACCAAUAAAACUUUAAGGCACUUUUAUUUUUUAAUGCAAAAACAACAAAGUUUCAGUAUGCUUCACCAUAAGCAUGCCUCUUUAGCCACGCCUCCUCAUCCCAGAAAAAGACUUCCUUCUCAGAUGUAUGCCCGCAGCUCAGUCACUUGAAGCACUGAAUGAUCUGAAUGACAAGAGCAAACUGCAAUAGAAGGAGAGACACCUAGAGAGGCAUAUAGUAGGAUAUCACUACCUACUUGUAGUUUAUUUCAUUGUCUGCAGCCAGGUUAUGAAUUAAAAGUAUUCAGUGAUGGUGGGACGGAUAAGGAAGUCUUUCUGGCAUUAGCGGGUUUGGUUAAGUAGGAAGGGUAAUUAAGAAGCAUGCAAAGAAAUUUUAAAAAACACAGUACAUUAUUGAGGCCAUCUAUCAAAUGUAUAAUGUUGUAUUGUGCCCAGAGUGUCCCUUAAUUAUAAAUAAGACAAAAUAGCACCAUAAAGCUAAAAGGAAAUGCAUCACAAUUUAAAUGGGGGCGGAAUUGCAUAAUAGGAAAUAAGUCAAUAAAGCCUAGUGAAUUAAAAAAAAAAAAAAAAAUUUGCAUAUAAAUAAACUAGCAUUUAUAUGGGCAAUUUUAUUAUUAUUAUUAUUUUUAAAUAGUAGGUUUUUUUUUUUCUCUCAAAAACAGAAUUGAAUAACAAAUUCCUACCUAUGGUGCCAUAACACUAUUGUGUAUAUUUAACAAAAAAAAUUAAAAAAAAUCACUUUCAAGUUUCAGAAAAAAAAUCUAAUCUGAGCGAUAAGAGCAACAACCACCUACUUGUUUCAAGGUCAUAAAAAAAUAAUAGCUAUUUAUAUACAUAUACUCCUCAACACCAACAAGGUGAUGAGUUUUUUUAGCCAGAGUAAUAUUUACACAUCCAUUAUCAAAAGUCUAAAAAGAUAUGUGGCUCUGUGCCAUAUUUUCCUCCCUAGUUACAUCAGAU
Pelobates cultripes (western spadefoot toad) is the source of this 3837-nucleotide non-coding RNA. The record is from the annotation of a GenBank genome assembly. Lineage: Eukaryota; Metazoa; Chordata; Amphibia; Anura; Pelobatidae.